AAUUCAUUUCCGCCCAAACCCUCCUUAGUGAAAAACCUAGGCUCCAAAACUCAUGUUCACGGACAAAAACUGAAAGCUUCAUCUCUUCUCCGCCAGUACCAAGGGUCGACGGCCUCCUCCACUUCAUCAUCGCCAACCUCCCUCAUUCUCUUCCUCUAUCUGAUUAGGAGAGGACAGGCUCCCUCUUCUGCCUCCAUCUCAUCCACAACUGACGUUAAUGCACACAAUAUGAGCUUCAUCCCAGAAUCUGUCGGCCAUCUCAUCUCCUCUAUCAUCUUCCUCACCGCUGACAGUAAGGUCUUCUCACAGAGCUUCCAGAUCUGAAAGCCAUCUCACGGUGCCUUCAUCCUCAGCCCACAGCCUUCUUCCAAUUGGGAGAGGUGCCACCGUCGAACUCUACUUCACCCUCUCCUGAUUGGUAGAGGUUUCUUCACCACCACUGGUUUCCUUCCACCUCUCUAUUUUGGAUUUGAAGAAUUCGAAGAGAAGGGUUCAUUCUCCAUCGACGAGUAGCCAUCCACUUCGUCCACAGCCUUUGUCGGCAGAUUGGCACUCGGAGAAGCUCCAUCCAGCAACCCCCUCUCCACUUCGAAUUCAAAGAGGGGAGCUCUAUUCCGCUCCGUGUCUAUGACAUUGGGUUAUUUCUAUCUAUGUUGGAUUGUGUUAUGCUUGUUGAUUAUUGAAUUGUAAUGUAGCUAUUCUCCCAUGUUUAGAAUUGCAUGUAUUUUGCUUAAUUGAAUUCUCGUUCGUGGUGUGUUUGAUGAAAUGCCUCUUUCAUUAGUUAGUUUAUAAACUUGCAUCUUCUUUGGUUUGAAUUCUUGUUAUGGUUAGUUAGUUGAAUGUUUUAGGUUAGAUUCGAUUAGAUUAGUUGAAAUUUGAUAAAUUUAGUCAUGUGGAAGUUUAUUUUUAAUAUUUUCUAAAUUUAUGCGACUCAAAUUUAUUCAACUUGUCCAUUACCUUGCCUAGACUCAAAUUGCCUUGAAUGAAGUUCAAUUAGGUGGGUUAGGAUUCAUGUACCAAACACCAAAUACCUGGAAUUAGCUGGGCUUGUUGUGAUUUUGGAUAUCUCCAUUAUUAAUUUUAUAAUUUUCAAGCAUGUAGUUAUCUAUAGCUUUUUUAUUUUUGUUAAACCUAAUAUAUCUAGCAUGAUGCUUUUCCAUAGAUUGGCAAGGCAUGUGGGGAGAAAUGGAAAAUAAUGUCAUUUGAGGUUGGAUGUUGCAUCUUUUUAUACACCAAUGCAUAUGUUUUAGUUUUGUUUGGUAUAAUAAAAAUGUUAUAAUACAUACAAACAUCUAUUUGCAAAUGUGAAUGAUUCAAGGCAACUAAGACUAUGCAAGAGUUAGAAGGGAAUUGUUAUUGUAUGAGAUUGGAGAUAGAGACAAGGCCAUUACUAAUUGGAGGAUGUAUCCAUUUCUCUAAAGGGAUACCUAGGUACUUCUUCAAGAUUAAUUUUAUGCUUCCUACAAUACAUCUUUUACAAGUUUUUAUAAGGGGUAUCUUUCAUCCCGCAGAGAUACAUGCAGCUCUAGCCACAUCAUCGUAUCCUAACAAGCAUGUUGCACUCCUUGCUGAGAACCAGUUUACAAUUGCCACUCUUUUGGAUCCUCAUUAUACUGAUCUCUCAUAUGUCAGGAAAACUAAGCAUUAGCCUCCGAGCUUGAUCAAUUCCUUGUAGCAUUUCAUCACACUUUCCUAACAAGCUCAAAUAUCUUGCUUGGUUGAUAAAUGGUGAUGCAUUAAUUCUUUUUCAAUGUAGAUGUUAAUGGGCCAGAAAUAAAUUUUGUGCGCCACUUCUAAAGGACAUCAUAUCACAAGUAAAUUCUAACGGAUGCAUUUGAUAUAUCAACUUGUCUAAGUUGAUUACAUAUGAUUUUUCUUCUUCAUUGCAAGUAACUUUUAUGUGAGAUAUAAAUUUUCAAUAAUCAUUAUAUAUAUAUAUAUAUAUAUAAUCGGAGCUAAGUAAUGCUCAAAAUUGCUUACAUGAUGCUUUUUGAGGAGACAUUGAUAAGCGAAGAGGAGGAAGAAGCACUACUUGAUCAGAAUAUGGAGGAUUAAGAUGCAGAAUAUAGAAAAAUGAAAGUCCAUGACUGCAUAUAUCAAGGGAGAGGUUUGUUCUUCCUUUGUGCAACUUAUAGAACUUUGACCAUCAUUCCUAGAGGUAUGUAAAAAAAAUUAUUUGGUUUUCAGGUGGAUUUGUUUAUAUUUCUAUUGAUUGCCCAUAUUGGUUGUGUGCUUUUGCCAUUCUAUCUUGGACGAACAUCACAAUGGGAAGAUGUUAGCCAUUUUCAUGUCACAAGGCACUCCAAAUUAAUUAAAGUUGAAACUCAUUAAAAUUAAUACAAGCGUUGUAGCAACGAGUCCCAAGUCGUAUUUUUUUUCCAAGGGUAACUAGUGAGUAAAUGUGUGAAUUCUAGAAGAGAUUCCAAUUAAAACCUAAGUUCAGCUAAAUCAAGAACAAUAUCAACCACAGAUCUAAUGUAACAUUGAAUCAAAUGAGUCAACUACUAUAUCCAUAAUUCUCAUCCACAUAAACCAUAGCUACAUUAGCUAAUAGAAGAGUUUCUACAUUCAAGGCUUGAAACCUAUCUUAAUCUUGCAUGAAUCAAUGUAGCAUUCAACUUAUAAUCAUAUUCGUAAAUCAAGUAAUCCUUUCACUAUCAAAACUAAAUCUCAUUGACAGCAUAUUCAAUGAACAAAGCAAGAGUUUCUCCAAUUCAAGCAUUAAAACUGACUCAAAGUGGUGGAAUUUGAAACAUUGAAUCCAAGGCAAAUACUAAGUAACAAAUUAAUUAGUUAGCUUUAGUUAAUUAACUACAUCAGAUUCAAAUUGUAAAGAUUCAACAAGAUGAGAAAGUAAGUAAGAAAUCAGAAAUGGGGUUUGCAGCAAAGAAAAACAGGGAAAGGAAUGUAAUAAACUGAAACAAGGAAGAAAUGGAACGAAAACUAUCAGAUCCAACGAUCUGAGCAAAUUCGAGUACAAUUCAAAGACAAACUCAAUGAAAUCUAACCCUAAGCAUUCCUUAAACCAAAUCCGGGAACAAUCCUCAACAAUCUGCCAUGAAGCAGAGACGCUAUCUGAAACCUCCCAUCAAGCACCCAACAAGCAAUAAACAAGGCUUCCAACUAUCACCAGGGGACAUUCACAGCUCUUGGAAACCUCCCCGCAAGCUCACAUCCAUCUGAUAAUCCCAUCGACCGAAGAACAGUGCUCAAAUUCUGGAAAUCGCAAACCAGAUCGAACGGCCAAUUCGAUCCAAUUUAGCUAUGAAAUGGAGAUCGGAAAACACUCAGAAACCUCAAAAAACCUCCCUUGAAGCAUAUGUUGACUGCGAAGAUCGUUGGACGAGAAACCUCCCUCAAACAAGAUCGCGACAGUGAGCAGAACCAAGACGUGCCGAGAAACCUCCCUCUAGCACUCUCUGAUCACCGGAAGAUGGACGCCGGCAGCUCAGGAACGCCGUCGGAGGAGAAGCUUGCUCAUCGGAUCUGGAAUUAAGGAACGGGACUUCGGCGUCGCGGAGAAGAAGAAGGAUACACAGUAGCAAAAUCGCAAGAUCGCCGAGCCAAGGAACACUGUAGUUCCUCACUGCCUUUUAAAUCUCCUCAGAUUUGAUCCGACGGCCAAGAAUGCUCUGAUCUCAAUCAACGGUGGAAACAUCUUCAGAUCGGACUAAAAACCUCUGGAUCUUCAUCAAUGGUUCAGAUCUGCUCCUCAUUAGGUCGGAUGGUCCAGAUCCUUAUCGGAUGGCUCAGAUCUGCUCAAUCUUAGAUGAACGGCUCAUAAUGCUCCGAGGCU
Long non-coding RNA from Zingiber officinale, 3796 nucleotides. RefSeq lists it as uncharacterized. Lineage: Eukaryota; Viridiplantae; Streptophyta; Magnoliopsida; Zingiberales; Zingiberaceae. The transcript is spliced from 3 exons. The record is from RefSeq and is a predicted model, not a curated record.